This 1367-nucleotide long non-coding RNA is filed under the name Chrysemys picta bellii (western painted turtle). Its description in RNAcentral is "lncRNA (ENSCPBG00000005083.1)". The record is from RNAcentral. Lineage: Eukaryota; Metazoa; Chordata; Testudines; Emydidae.
GUUUACUCUAAAGGCAUAUGGAAAAGGAACUGGGGAAUAACAAUAGAAGACACCUCAGCUCAAGAGGAAAGGUUUUGCUGGCAUUUCUAUGAUGUUGCCCUUGGAGAAUGAAGGAUCAAUGACUGGGCAGACAAUGGAUCCUUCUCCUCCUUUCCUCAUGCAAGAUGUGAUAAUUGAGAUGAGAGGUACUAUGUUCUGGAGCACACAUAGAAACCCACUCACCGUCCAGCAAUACAAAGCAGGGUCCCCAGUCAGUUGGCCAGUAAUCACAACUCUGGCCCUACUGCUGCCACACUGGAUUCCUGGAAAAACUUGCAACAAUAAAACAGAAUCCUCAAAUAUAAGCCAACCCCUUCAUGUGCUCUGAAGAAGGUGAAAAGUAGAACUGGUCAGGAAUUUUUCAUUAUUGGGUAAGGGAGGGAGGUGUGAGGGAUGAGGCUUGGGGGGAGAGAGAGAGAGACAGACAGAAGACAAACAGACAGACAGACACACAAAGUCUGUCUCUCUCUCUCUAUCUACCUCCCUCUACCCUUAUCCUAGAAUAAUCCUUUUCUUCGUGGUUUGGGCACUUGCCUAGAAUAUGGAAAAGACAGGUUCAAGUCUCUGCCCUACUUUGAGCUGGAGUGGAUUUUUUUAAUCCCCCAAAUAGUUUUGAAAGGUCUGUUUUAUCUCAAUGAGGAUUGGGGGAAAAAAUUGAAAUCUAAAAGAUGUUCAUGAAAUGGGAAAAUCAUUUCCCACUCAGCUCUAGUGAAACUACAUCGUGCCAGUUUUGCAAUGAGGAAAAGUCUGUCUUAGCUCUGAAAAGGGAAACAGCAGAGCCCAGAACAUGAAGUACAGAAGACUUUUAGGACUCAUCUGCAUGGGAAGAAAACUUGACAUAUCUUGCGUGGAAGAGCUGCUGUGUUUUAAAAUCACACACUAGCUAUUUUGCACCAAUGUCUUUGUGAAUUAUAUAUCUACACAAGCCCUAACUUGCAUGGAAGGAAGGGAGGGUUAGUGGGUGACUAAAGUGGGAGCUGACUGGACAUUCUAUAUAUGGUUGGAAACUUUAAAUGAUACCCUCCAUCCCCUAAUGGGCAGGGAACUUGGCCAAUUGAAACUCUUGUGGCAUUGGUUGAUCUACUUGUGGAAGAGGCAAAGCAAACCUGGCCCAAGCCAAAACCCCACCUAUGCCACAGAAGGUUCUGGGGGCAGUGAAGGGGGCAACACUCACUCCAAUUUCAGCCAGGACCCUUGGGGUGCCCUUUUCCUACUAAUCUUAUCAAACCACCUCGGCACACACUCCUCUCUCCCCCAGGCAAGUGUCGGAUUGCAGGGCUGCAUUCACUCUCUGUGAACUCAGAUUCAGAAUUGCUGAUAUAUUUUAC